Molecule: ribosomal RNA, 1581 nt
Filed under: Phaner electromontis
Lineage: Eukaryota; Metazoa; Chordata; Mammalia; Primates; Cheirogaleidae
Description: 16S ribosomal RNA
Rfam family: Bacterial large subunit ribosomal RNA
Source: RNAcentral
AACCAAUCCUAGCCUACUUCCUACUUACCCACCAAUAUAUAGACCAAAAACAAACCAUUUACCACAAAUAAUAGUAUAGGAGAUAGAAAUUUCACAUAGCGCUAUAGAAAAAGUACCGUAAGGGAAAGAUGAAAGAAUUAAUCAAAGUACAAAAAAGCAAAGACUAUCCCUUGUACCUUUUGCAUAAUGACUUAACUAGAAUAAGCUGACAAAAAGAAAUUUUAGCCAAAGAACCCGAAACCAGACGAGCUACUCAAGAAGCAGUAAAUAUAGGAACACACUCAUCUAUGUGGCAAAAUAGUGAGAAGAAUUAUGAGUAGAGGUGAAAAGCCUAUCGAGCCUGGUGAUAGCUGGUUACCCGGAAGCAGAAUUUUAGUUCAACUUUAAAUUAACCCAAAGCAUACUUUUUAAGCCUACUGUUAAUUUAAAUGUUAUUCUAAAGAGGAACAGCUCUUUAGAUUGGGCUACAACCUUUAGCAGAGAGUAAACAAAAUUAAUUCCCAUAGUUGGCCUAAAAGCAGCCCCCAAUUAAGAAAGCGUUCGAGCUCAACACUCAGUAAAUACUAAUGUCUAAACUUACAACUGACCCCCUGCUGAUCAACUGGGUUAAUCUAUUACUAAAUAGAAGCAAUACUGUUAAUAUGAGUAACAAGAAUUCAAAUUCUCCUGGCACAAGCUUAUACCAAACCGGAUGCCUACUGGUAAUUAACAAUAAGAUAAGAUUAACCUUAACACACAAAAAAAUCUUUAUCCUAAUAUCUGUUAACCCAACACAGGCGUGCAUUAAGGAAAGAUUAAAAGAAAUAAAAGGAACUCGGCAAAACUAACCCCGCCUGUUUACCAAAAACAUCACCUCUAGCAUAACCAGUAUUAGAGGCACUGCCUGCCCAGUGACACGUUUUAACGGCCGCGGUAUUCUGACCGUGCAAAGGUAGCAUAAUCACUUGUUCCCUAAUUAGGGACUCGAAUGAAUGGCUCCACGAGGGUUUAACUGUCUUUUAUUUCCAAUCAGUGAAAUUGACCUUUCCGUGAAGAGGCGGAAAUGUAAAAACAAGACGAGAAGACCCUAUGGAGCUUAAAUUAACUAGCCCAAACAUAGUACAAAUAUUACAAGGAUAAGUCCACACUACUCAUCACGGAUCCUGGGCUAAAAAUUUCGGUUGGGGUGACCUCGGAGCACAAAAAACCCUCCGAACAACUUAACCUAGACCUAACUAGUCAAAGUACAAACACUAUAAAUUGACCCAAACUAACUUGAUCAACGGAACAAGUUACCCUAGGGAUAACAGCGCAAUCCUAUUAUAGAGUCCAUAUCGACAAUAGGGUUUACGACCUCGAUGUUGGAUCAGGACAUCCCAAUGGUGUAACCGCUAUUAAUGGUCCGUUUGUUCAACGGUUAAAGUCCUACGUGAUCUGAGUUCAGACCGGAGUAAUCCAGGUCGGUUUCUAUCUGUUAAAAAUUUCUCCCAGUACGAAAGGACAAGAGAAAUGAAGCCAACUCAAUAGAGCGCUUCCAACAUAACUGAUGACUAUAAUCUCAAUCUAAUAUGUAACUCCAGACAUUACCCUAGAUAAGGGUUU